Molecule: ribosomal RNA, 497 nt
Filed under: uncultured bacterium
Lineage: Bacteria
Description: partial 16S ribosomal RNA
Rfam family: Bacterial small subunit ribosomal RNA
Source: RNAcentral
GAUGAACGCUGGCGGCGUGCCUAAUACAUGCAAGUCGAGCGAACGGACGAGAAGCUUGCUUCUCUGAUGUUAGCGGCGGACGGGUGAGUAACAUGUGGAUAACCUACCUAUAAGACUGGGAUAACUUCGGGAAACCGGAGCUAAUACCGGAUAAUAUUUUGAACAGCAUGGUUCAAAAGUGAAAGACGGUCUUGCUGUCACUUAUAGAUGGAUCCGCGCUGCAUUAGCUAGUUGUUAAGGUAACGGCUUACCAAGGCAACGAUGGAUAGCCGACCUGAGAGGGUGAUCGCCCACCCGGGAACUGAGACACGGCCCAGACUCCUACGGGAGGCAGCAGUAGGGAAUCUUCCGCAAUGGGCGAAAGCCUGACGGAGCAACGCCGCGGGAGUGAUGAACGUCUUCGGAUCGUAAAGCUCUGUUAUUAGGGAAGAACAUAUGUGUAAGUAGCUGUGCACAUCUUGACGGUACCUAAUCAGAAAGCCACGGCUAACUACGUG